This 747-nucleotide ribosomal RNA is filed under the name uncultured bacterium. Its description in RNAcentral is "bacterial SSU rRNA". It matches the Rfam family "Bacterial small subunit ribosomal RNA", at positions 8 to 743 of the family's 1533-position model. The record is from RNAcentral.
AGAGUUUGAUCAUGGCUCAGAUUGAACGCUGGCGGCAGGCCUAACACAUGCAAGUCGAACGGUAACAGGAAGCAGCUUGCUGCUUUGCUGACGAGUGGCGGACGGGUGAGUAAUGUCUGGGAAACUGCCUGAUGGAGGGGGAUAACUACUGGAAACGGUAGCUAAUACCGCAUAACGUCGCAAGACCAAAGAGGGGGACCUUAGGGCCUCUUGCCAUCGGAUGUGCCCAGAUGGGAUUAGCUAGUAGGUGGGGUAACGGCUCACCUAGGCGACGAUCCCUAGCUGGUCUGAGAGGAUGACCAGCCACACUGGAACUGAGACACGGUCCAGACUCCUACGGGAGGCAGCAGUGGGGAAUAUUGCACAAUGGGCGCAAGCCUGAUGCAGCCAUGCCGCGUGUAUGAAGAAGGCCUUCGGGUUGUAAAGUACUUUCAGCGGGGAGGAAGGGAGUAAAGUUAAUACCUUUGCUCAUUGACGUUACCCGCAGAAGAAGCACCGGCUAACUCCGUGCCAGCAGCCGCGGUAAUACGGAGGGUGCAAGCGUUAAUCGGAAUUACUGGGCGUAAAGCGCACGCAGGCGGGUUGUUAAGUCAGAUGUGAAAUCCCCGGGCUCAACCUGGGAACUGCAUCUGAUACUGGCAAGCUUGAGUCUCGUAGAGGGGGGGUAGAAUUCCAGGUGUAGCGGUGAAAUGCGUAGAGAUCUGGGAGGAAUACCGGUGGUGAAGGCGGCCCCCUGGACAAGACUGA